ACGGCGUUGAAAUGUUGUGAAGAUUUCACACGUCGAGCACGCGCGUGAAGACGUUCGCGCGGGUCCGCGAGGUCAUCUCGCGCUUCCCUUCCCGUUGUCAGAGCACGAGCUGUCACUUGGCGCGGCCGCUGUUUGUACAGGUGUUUCUCUAAAGAAAACAACGGCAAGACGCUUCCAGUUCAAACAGACAUUGCGCUCUCGAAAAAGACGCGAGGAAAGAAUAAUAUAUGGUGGAAAAUAACGUGAACAGACGGCCUGAAGGUUUGACAGACGAGCGGAGAGUCGGCGGGGAGUUUUUUCCGCGCGCGGCCUCCGAGUGAUGGCGUGACUAAUGUGUCGAGGAGAGACACGAUUACCGAGAGAUUCAAACGCACAUUUCACAAAUGGUGAUGACAGUAAGAAACCCCACACAGGCCGAGUCGGAAGGAGGGCGUGGAGCUGCUGCCAAGCAUUCCCGAGCCAGCAGAGCUGUGACGGGCGGAUUACCCAACACCACCCUGGUCACUAAAUAAUAAAAUUCAUCCCGGGCAGUCACAGCUGAACUCUUGGUCUGCAGUAAGUCAGAUUUAAAUAGAUUUGUGGUAAAUUUGAGUCAAAGACGAGUGUGGAAAGAGACUGUGAUGAAUCCGGCUGAUUUGUUUCUGUGUAAAGCAUUACGGCGGUUGAACAUACAUGAAUCCAGACAUUCCUCAGUAAUGUGCUGCUGCUGCUAUAUUAAACCAUAUAGUGUCUAUAUGUGUUUUUCCGCACUGUAAAAAAAGCAGAAUAAAGUUAAAUCAAAUUGGUUUUGCAAGUCAAUUCAACCUACUAUUUUAAGUUUUGACCUGUGAUAAGCUGACCUAACUUAGAAAAACAAGUUGAAAUUGUUUAACUUAAUUUGUGAAGUUAAAGUAACAUAAAACUAUAUAUGUUUGAUUUGACAAAAAUUGUGCAUUUUUUACAGUGCACAAAAUUAGGAGUGAGCAAACCGCUGCAUUUCAUUUUAUUUGAUGUGUGUUAGCAACUUGAAAGUCUGAUUCAAGUUAGAGACUUGUUUUCAGGAAAUUAAAGUCAACGUGUAUUCCAAAUUGGCCCUAUUUGACUUUAAAGUCUGUCAUCAGAUCUGGGGCACCAUUCACUUCCAUAUUAUUAUUUUUCCUACUAUAAAAGUCAAAUAUAUUCUUUAAAAUAUAUUUUGAGAUUUAUGCAGGUGGAACAACUUUGAGUUAAUGAUGACAGAAUUUUCAUUUUUGGGUGAACUAUUCCUUUAACCUCCUAAGACCAGAGCUUUGGUUUGGCUUGCAUUUUAGAUUUCUUCCAGCUUUUUGGGGUUAGGAAGAACCAAUAAAUAUAAUAACCAAAUAUUUUUCUUUGAACAUGAAGCAAUGUAAUUGUCCACGUAUGUGUACAACAGGUUCCAGUUACACAGCAUUAAGUAUUAUGGUGCAAACAACAAAAAGUAUGAUGUCCACGUAUGUGGACACACCAGGUCUUCUUAGGAGGUUAAAUAAUUUGCCUCAUCAUUGAUAUUAAUGUUGCUUUGAUGAUUUUAAUGUUUAUGUUGUUUUGAUGAUUGAUGCUGAUGUGCAUUUCAAAUAAUGUUAUAAGUAUUAUUAUUUGCUUUAAAUUUUGUGCAUUACCCUAUAGUGUGUGUGUGUGUGUGUGUGUGUGUGUGUGUGUGUGUGUGUGUGUGUGUGUGUGUGUGUGUGUGUGUGUGUGUGUGUGUGUGUGUGUGUGUGUGUGUCUGUGUGUGUGUGACAGAUGAGUUUAUAAUGGUCAGAUGAGGGUACACAUCUGUGUUACAGAGAUGCUGUAACUGAAUGUGACCGCAGGCUGACUGUCAUUAAUAACACGCACACACCUCCAGUAUAACACAGAUGGGUAGAUUACAGCACAUUAAUCUCUCUUUGAGAGAGAGAGAGAGAGAGAGAGAGAGAGAGAGAGAGAGAGAGAGAGAGAGAGAGAAGGGCUUUCAGUAUCAUCACUCAUGGAUCUUUGACUCUUUGUCUCCAUCUCUCAUUGUUUUGUCUGUUAUUGAUACAGAGAUACUCAAGUGCCUCUCAAUGCUAAUGCUCCCUCUGGACAGCAGCCAAUCGGAACGCCACUUCAAACACCCGCCCAAUAAAAACACUUUUGGUUCAAAACAGUUUAGAAGUUUUGAUGUCAUUGCGUUUAGAUUACAAAAUGUUCUUACAGUUUUUAUAAUGGCUGUUUAUGAAUCUAAUAUCAGUAGUGUGUUUGAGAAUAACUAUUCGCAACGGAUCCGCUCCGAAGUCGGCGGAUCCGCCCCGGAGUUUAUUGCUAUCAUAGUUGUAGAAAGUUGUAAUUACAUUUAUUAAUGAAAAUAUAUCAUAUGAUUUUAUGACGCAGUACACACACA
Molecule: non-coding RNA, 2359 nt
Organism: Misgurnus anguillicaudatus (oriental weatherfish)
Lineage: Eukaryota; Metazoa; Chordata; Actinopteri; Cypriniformes; Cobitidae
Source: RefSeq, a predicted model, not a curated record